Molecule: ribosomal RNA, 451 nt
Filed under: uncultured bacterium
Lineage: Bacteria
Description: bacterial SSU rRNA
Rfam family: Bacterial small subunit ribosomal RNA
Source: RNAcentral
GUGGGGAAUAUUGCGCAAUGGGGGAAACCCUGACGCAGCGACGCCGCGUGGGCGAUGAAGGUCUUCGGAUCGUAAAGCCCUGUCGAGCGGGACGAAGUGUACGGGCUCUAACAUAGCUCGUGCUUGACGGUACCGUUAAAGGAAGCCCCGGCUAACUCCGUGCCAGCAGCCGCGGUAAUACGGAGGGGGCUAGCGUUAUUCGGAAUCAUUGGGCGUAAAGGGCGUGUAGGCGGCUUGGUGUGUCCCGUGUGGAAGCCCUCGGCUCAACCGAGGAAUUGCAUGGGAAACUGCCGGGCUUGAGUCCGGGAGAGGAGAGCGGAAUUCCCAGUGUAGCGGUGAAAUGCGUAGAUACUGGGAGGAACACCGGUGGCGAAGGCGGCUCUCUGGACCGGUACUGACGCUGAGACGCGAAAGCUAGGGGAGCAAACGGGAUUAGAUACCCGUGUAGUCC